Non-coding RNA from Anolis sagrei ordinatus, 1096 nucleotides. NCBI's taxonomy places the organism in Eukaryota, Metazoa, Chordata, Lepidosauria, Squamata, Anolidae. The record is from RefSeq and is a predicted model, not a curated record.
GUCUGCUUCAUUUCGAAUGUCUCUGGCCAAAUGUGAAUAGAAAACAGCUUUUUGUUCCACAGACUUUUGGACUUUAACCUUAACUACUUACCAGGAUAUAAUCAUCCACACAUUCCCGAUUGCCAGUACAUAAACUAUUAGGCUGCCCAGCGCUACAGCUGGAAGGGAAGAGCUUCUCUCUAGUGGCUAAUUUAAUCGACAACAUCAGAGCAAGAAGAAGUAAAACAAGUUUUCCUGUUCAAAAACCCUCCUGUGUUGUUGCUGCAGAAAAUACUGUUCCCUGCACAAGGAUUUCUUCCCUUUCUGUGAAGGAAAAAGGAUUUUUGCACAUGUAUUUUCUAUCCAGGAUACUUCUUGAUGUUCAAAUCUGGGAAUAUACUGCAGAUAAAUAUUUGUUUUCUUCCAUAGCAGGGUGAAAACUACUCCAUCAUUGCAGGUGAAACUGGUUAGAAUUAUAACAGGAUGUCUACAUCCAACACCACUGGAGAAAUUAUACUGUUUAGUCGGUAUUGCACCACCUGACAUCCGUUGGGAAGCAGCAGCCUGUAAUAAAAGGAUCAAGGCACUGACCUCUCCGGCCCACCCUCUGUUCGGAUAUAAGCCAUCAAGCCAAUGCAUUAAGUGAAGAAAUAGCUGCAGAGAUCUGCAGAGAUACUCACAGGAAUACCUAAGCAAGCAAGAGUCCAAAAGCGGCAGGCAAAAAACCCAGAACCUCAAUCAGUGGCUGAUACCAGAUGAGAAACUCCCUCCUGGGCACAUAGAAGUUUGGGCGACUUGGAAGGCGCUGAACAGCUUGCGCUCUGGCACCACGAGUGCAAUCUUCAGAAAUGGGGCUACAAAGUGGAGUCCACGACAUGCGAAUGUGGAGAAGAACAAACCACAGACCACUUACUACAAUGCAGUCUGAGCCUUCUCGCAUGCACAGUGGAGGACCUUCUUACAACGACACCAGAGGCACGCCAAGUGGCCAGCUUCUUGUCAAAGGAAAUUUAGUAUAAUGCCAAAUUUUUAACUUUGUUUGUGUUUUUCUAUACAUUACUGUAUAUCUGUAUUCUCAAUUCACUUCUGACAUGAUAAAUAAAUAAAUACUCCUCAA